CCCCUAGACGUUCUGGGCUGCACGCGCGCUACAAUAAUACGCACAGCGAGUAUCACCGAGCUCGAAAGGGCAAGGUAAACAAUAGAAAAGGUACUGUAAUGGUUAUAGAUCCUUGUAAUUAUUGAUCUUCAACGAGGAAUUCCUAGUAAGUAUGUGUCGUCAUCACGCACUGAUUACGUCCCUGCCCUUUGUACACACCGCCCGUCGCUCCUACCGAUUGGGUGAGCCGAUGAAACUCUCGGAUGUAGGCUAUUCAUAGCCCGCAGAAGAGAUUUGAAUCGUAGCGCUUAGAGGAAGGAGAAGUCGUAACA
RNAcentral lists this ribosomal RNA (311 nucleotides) under uncultured eukaryote. RNAcentral's name for it is "partial 18S ribosomal RNA". It matches the Rfam family "Eukaryotic small subunit ribosomal RNA", at positions 1470 to 1796 of the family's 1831-position model. The record is from RNAcentral.